Molecule: ribosomal RNA, 251 nt
Filed under: uncultured bacterium
Lineage: Bacteria
Description: partial 16S ribosomal RNA
Rfam family: Bacterial small subunit ribosomal RNA
Source: RNAcentral
UACGGAGGGAGCUAGCGUUGUUCGGAAUUACUGCGUAAAGCGCGCGUAGGCGGCUUUGUAAGUUAGAGGUGAAAGCCCGGGGCUCAACCCCGGAAUUGCCUUUAAGACUGCAUCGCUUGAAUCCGGGAGAGGUGAGUGGAAUUCCGAGUGUAGAGGUGAAAUUCGUAGAUAUUCGGAAGAACACCAGUGGCGAAGGCGGCUCACUGGACCGGCAUUGACGCUGAGGUGCGAAAGCGUGGGGAGCAAACAGG